RNAcentral lists this ribosomal RNA (260 nucleotides) under uncultured bacterium. Its description in RNAcentral is "partial 16S ribosomal RNA". It matches the Rfam family "Bacterial small subunit ribosomal RNA", at positions 793 to 1055 of the family's 1533-position model. The record is from RNAcentral.
GUCCACGCCGUAACGAUGAAUGCCAGUCGUCGGGCAGCAUGCUGUUCGGUGACACACCUAACGGAUUAAGCAUUCCGCCUGGGAGUACGGCCGCAAGGUUAAACUCAAAGGAAUUGACGGGGCCCGCACAAGCGGUGGAGCAUGUGGUUUAAUUCGAAGCAACGCGCAGAACCUUACCAACCCUUGACAUGGGUAUCGCGGGGCCAGAGAUGGUCCUUUCAGUUCGGCUGGAUACCACACAGGUGCUGCAUGGCUGUCGU